RNAcentral lists this long non-coding RNA (234 nucleotides) under Elaeis guineensis (African oil palm). RNAcentral describes it as "long non-coding RNA (EGUI_LNC011558)". Lineage: Eukaryota; Viridiplantae; Streptophyta; Magnoliopsida; Arecales; Arecaceae. The record is from RNAcentral.
ACUCAUAGAAACGGCCAUUCGUUAAAUGCAACGUCUGCAUAUCUCAAUAUCUUUUGAUCAGUUUGAUAUAUAUUAGCUUGAUGGGAAAUAAAUAAUAGAAAGAAUGAUAUAGAGAGCAUUUAACCCAACAUCUUAUGUCCACCGUCGAUUAGAUGCUUUCCUUUAAACUUGCCGUCCACCCCAAAACAUAAUCCAGUAACCGUCCAAGUUUCAACUAACGAUUCCGUGACCGUG